Molecule: non-coding RNA, 5801 nt
Organism: Callithrix jacchus (white-tufted-ear marmoset)
Lineage: Eukaryota; Metazoa; Chordata; Mammalia; Primates; Cebidae
Source: RefSeq, a predicted model, not a curated record
GCAGGGAACUUUGCAAAAGGGUUUGGUUUUCCUGACAUCCUUAACUGGCAUGCUGUCACAGAGGAGAGGAUUUUGCUCUACUAAUUAUUUCGUAUUUUCCCAAGUUGUCAUUACUGUAAAAAUCUCAUUGUCCUCAAAGCUACCUGUUCUCUAUUCAUCUGCUGCUUGCUUUCUGUUAUUCUUGAAUUUAGGGAAGAAAAGACAAAGGAGAAAAUGGAGUUUUCCAGCUUUUUGUAUGGUUGCCCUUUGAGACACAGAGCAGUGUCUCUAUUCUGAGUUCCUGCUCUGGACACUAGCCAUGUACUCACACCAUGCUCUCUGCUGUUACCUGGCUAUUCCACCUGGGUCCUAGUUCUGUGCCGACUUCUGUCUUUUGGUUUUUUAUAAUUUCCACUUUUCAUCAGUUUAUUCCCAGUAUCUCCAACAAAAAAAAGAAACCGUUUAUUUAGAUACUCUAGGAACCAAAGAACAUUGAGGUCAAUCAUGAUCAUUGAUACCUUCCUUGCAGUGAACUAAAACCUUUUGGGAGUUAGUUUUCAGUAGCAAACAAAGACUCCAUCUUUUCUUGAGACUAGAUUGCUAAACAAAGUCAGGGGCUAUUUCUAGAAAUUUUUUUCCUUUUUAAAACAGACUUAGAAUAAAAAUGUACAGCGAAUUUUCAAAAACGUAUGUUUGAAUGAAGCAUGUUUCAAAAUGAUACGUCAGUUUUAAGGAUUCUAAGCAGUUUUUGUUAUUGUAUUUCUUUCUAGACUCCUAAAUAUGUGUAUAUAUUUAAAAUAAUUUGAACUCAGUUGUGUUCCUCCGUUUUAGUGUUUUGCUCUUCUCACUCAUUUAUGAUAUUCAUGUAAAUUAAGCAAACAACGUGAAGCCAAUCAUUUCUAUUUCUUUGAAGUGUCAGUUCCAUAGGUAGUUGGAAAUUAUAGUUUAGUAAGUCCUGAAAAUCUGAUGGAAUUUUUCAGGGGGAAGGCUUAAUUGAGCAGCCAGAAGAGGCUAUCAUCAGGUCAGAUUGAAUCUUACAAAUUGAUCUCAAUUUUUUGAGUCACUCCAGUAACAUACAGACCAACAAAACUUCAAAUUGUCUAACUCUGUCUCUGAACCUGAUAUGCCAUUGAAUUCUGGAGGCUAAUUCCUAUCCCAAAUGCUCUCUGAAACUCAAAGUUUUUCAAAUUUGCAAAAGCACCACAAGGGUUCCAUUUCUUUAUUAUACUUUCCAAAGCUGUCUCCCAUGGAAUGCUGCUUUGAGAAUGGUUAAAGGAUGUUAUAAUCCUCUUAUUUGGAAACCUGAUUUGCAAAUGCUAGGAAGGUAUGUAUGCUUUUACUAUGCUUAUUGGCAUUAACAAUUGCAAAUACCUGGUAAGGCCUUGCCACUUCACUUAGGAUAUGAAGCUGGGGCAAUCACCAAAUUUGUUUCUUCAGCAGAUGUUUUUUGUGUGCUUACUCUAAUGUCUCACAGAAGGCUAGGCAGCUCAAAUGAUCAGAAAAGAUUCUUUAAGAUAGUCCGACUCCUAUAGCUCUCCCAACCUUAGGGGGAAGUGGAAAAAUCAUAACUGUGUUUAACUUCCAAUAUACAACAACUCAAUAUGAAGAAAUUCCAAAGUAAGAAAAAAACAAAUUUUUCUCCAGAGAUUGUCUACCAGUCCACAGAUGUAGAUCUGGCAAGAUGCCCAGAAACCUAGGUAGGUACAAUUUGGACACAUCAGGUUAGUUCCUUGUAACAUCUCGGAAUGCAUGCUUUUGGUUGCUUUCAGCCUACACCUUGUCAGCUCAGCCCUUGGAUCCUUUUUUCAAAUAAUUGACUUGGCAUGUUCAUUAUAAUGACUCAGUAUGUGACUGAUGUCACUGAAUGUCCCAUUUUUCCUUGGAGGUUUGGCACAUAUUCCUGGAUACUGUAAUUAUUCUACCUUUUUUGUUUCUCCUCAUUAUACAUGAAGUGCUGGAGAGAGGCCAUCCUUACUGAUAGAACACUGAUACUCCCUUUUCAAUCUUCUUACGGAGGGUGUUAGCUUGUGCUUCAGGCAUGAGUGUGAGACUAUGUGAAUUAGCCCUGAUUUGUGAAUUGACUGUCAUUUAUAUUUCCAUAGUUGUCACACUCACACAAAUCUUAACUUCUGUACCUUGAAAAUGGGAAUGGCAAUCUUAUCCCUUUCAAAAAGAAAAAAAAAAUGGCAUGUUGGGGAUUAACUGAGUAGGGCUCAAAAGCACCAGGAAAAUGUAAGAGAAGUCUGUCCACAUAAGCCAAGAGCUGAUGCUUUCUUAGUGGUCAAUGAAUUUGCUUAUUAUAGUUUCUAAAUCAGAAAACAGACCUCAAACUAGAUCUGUGAUUGAUCGGCGAUCAAUUACAAGUCCAACUCUUUGUGAAGCCCCAGGGUAGAUACCCAAAAUGUACCAGGCAUGUCUUAUUUUUUAAUCAGAGUUAAAUAACGCAUGGAAUUGCUGUAUUCAGAGCCACAGCCUGACCUCUUAUGGUGGUGCCAGCAGCAGGGGUGGCCUUGUAGAUGGCUUUGCAGUCCUCACAGGUACUAGCCACUGGUCACAUUUCAAGUACUCAGUAACCACAUAUGCUAAGCUACUAGGUUGGACAACACAUAUGAGAACUUUCAUCAGCAUGGAACAUUCCACUGCACAGGGCUGCUUGUCACUGACAAAUGUUCCCUCUUACCACUGCUCUAACUAGUCUGAAGUCAGUCUUUACAGUAGCAUUGGGUAGGUCCAUCUCACUCUAAUGAAGAACACUGUGACACUACAUAUAUAAUAUUACAUUUUCAUACUUUCCUUUACCCAAACACUGAGUAUGAGGCUAAGUGUACUCAAGUGCAUGUUAAAAUGAAAUUUAUCAACCAGUAAUCAAUACCUAAUUAAAAAAAAUUAUAUCAUGAGACAGGGGUGAAAAUAUGCUAUUUUCCUUUAUAUAUGAAUUCUAGUUGAUUCACCUUCUGAAUGACCAAGACAUUACCUCCCCCUCCAUCCUUGCACCCUCCAAUCCCCCAAGAAUUAGAGAUUGAUUUUAUUAUAGGUCCAUCCCUCUUUGUUUAUGAUAUCACAUCUAUUUGAUAAAGAAUGCAACAUUGGCAGAGAUUUAAGUGUUUUACAUGUAAUAUAUGCAAAAAGUGUAAACAUCGAAUAUAUUAAUAGAUCCAAGGUAAUUUGCUUAAAGUGCAUUGUCUAUAGUAUCUUUAUUGCUAACCUCACAUAUAUCUUAUAUCUAACAGGGAGUAGGCUUCAUGCAUCCAUGAACAUACUACCAACCAAGAGAUCAAACUAGUAAUAUUUCAGCGUAGCAUUCAUAAAAUAAAUAAUAGACUUGCAGAGUUGACAGAGACAAUAGAACUGUCAGAGAAAUGGAGGUCAAAUCAUCUCUUUGCCAAAGUCAGGAGAGGUGGAGUAUCCCUUAAGCACUAGAUGAGUGAUGGAGUCACAAUUGGAACUCAGCUCCUGGGACCUGGAGCUAGGGCUGCUUUGGACCCUUUGUUCUUUGCCCUCCUCUGACAAGGAGAUGAGGGAGACCAGCUAGGAGAAGAGGAGGAAGUUGAUCUCUCUCUGAUGGCAGGAAGGUGAGUCCUUCUGGUGCCUGGCCAGCACCUGGGCCAUCAUGCCACUACCUUGCAGAAGAAGAAGAGAUGCCCUUUCUUCUUAGCCUGUAUCAUCACUUUAAGUGUUCCAUCUGACUUCAAAGUUGCCCGUUCCCAGGGUAGCCCAAAUGCUUAGUCAAUGGAAUUUCUGGAACCAGAGCACAGUACCUUGUCCUGGUGAGUUCUUGUAUAUGUGCCAUUUCUCUCUGGUUUUAUGUGCUCCCUUUGAAAAAAAUUCCUAAUUCUCUUACCCUACUUCUCUCAAAUGGGAUCUGAGCAUUUAUCUUGAGGAUUCAUAGAUGUGAUUUUAGGGGACUGUAAAUGUCCUGGAGAGGAAACGGAAAUCCACCUUUCAGUCUGUAGCAUUCAUUAAAUUAUCAAAACUGACUAUGAUAGAAUAAGGCUUAGAACUUCUAUAAGGGAGAAAAGAAAGGUGCAUUUUUUAAAAAAGAAAACAAAAUUGCUGAACUCAGAAAAACUAGUAAACGGGUAGUAGGUAUAAUAAACACCAAUUUAAUGGAAAUAGGCAAUGUAAAUGAAUAAUACUGCAAUGCUAAAGAAGCCUAGGAAGAGGCUGGGGUGGUGGCUCAUGCCUCUAAUCCCAGCACUUUGGGAGGCUGAGGCGGGUGGAUCACCUGAGGUUAGGAGUUCGAGACCAACCUGCCCAACAUGGUGAAACCCCGUCUCUACUAAAAAUACAAAAAUUAGCCUGGCAUGGUGACAGGUUCCUAUAAUUCCAGCUACUCAGGAGGCAGAGGCAGGAGAAUCACUUUAACCUGGGAGGCAGAGAUUGCAGUGAGCUGAGAUUGCACCAUUGCACUCCAGCCUGGGUGACAGAACAAGACAAGGCUGAAGAUGCAUUUCCCUUUUGUCUUCCUUCAACCAUUUGUUCGAAAUCUGAAUUACAAAUUGAAUUCUGCAAGUCAGUGAGAUGGGAGACACCUUCCGUCCUCUUCUCCAGCACUACAGCGGUGUGCAGAUUUACACAGACUUCCUUCCAAUGAUGGGGUAGUUUGGAAAGCCAAGGUCAGGCUCUGUGGUUCGUGGCACUGCCUAUGGUGUCGGGAGCUGUGAAAUGGGGCAAAUAGGCCAUCACUGGUCUUUCUCUCACAAAAGGAUUCCUGCAAAUUUUUCCUCAUGUCUCUGGGGUAUUGCAUUGCAUGAUAGGAAUAAACAAGGACUUCUGAUACCACUAAAUUGACGCUGAAAUAUGGCACCCCUAAUUAGAUGACACCGUCAAGGAGAAUAAGACUCAAGACAGGAAUAUGGUCGUUCUGCUGUUUGGCAAAGAUGCUGCUGAGGGUCCUUGAGAAAACAUGACCACACGGGAGCUGCAGGUAGGCUUUGGCCAGGAGUAGCAGAACCAAGAGGGCAAGGAUUGCUACAACCACCCCUGUUGUCUUUCUCAGAAGUGGCUUGCCACUGUCAACAUCCAUGAGAAGCAAUGACAGCAGACACCAACUUAUUAUGUACUAAGGAAGAGCCAAGGAAUCAUGUUGUUACCUUCCGUUUCAAUAUUUAGGGAAGAUAGCUCCUAAUUUAUUCUAUUCAAUUAAAACAAGGGAACUGUGGAACUCCAUAUACCAAAUAGCAAGAAAUGUUCACAGGAACCCUGCUUGCCAGUUGUAAUUUUGAACUAAAAUUACAUGAAAAACUUCAUGCAGGAAAACAAAUCAUGAAUUUUAAAAAUGUCUGUUGAUCUAGAGAGAUCUAUGGACAAUGUGAACUACUACUGUUUGCCUCAGGCAUUUGACCGUUGAUGCAGUACAGUUCAUCUAGUUUUCUGAACAAUUUCUCAUUUUUUUCAGGGGCUCUGACCUCCAGUAUCAGCCUUCCAAGGAGAGAAUGGUAGUAUAACCAUGACUGGAGACCAACUGUUCCAGGAUCCCUGGCUUAACCAGCCACAAUACGGGUCACGAGAUGCGAUACAAGACCUGUAUGAAGCCAAAGAAGAAUGUAGCUUGGAUUUUCUCAUCAUCAAAGGUUUCGAUGCUGCAAGACCCAGGGUCACCUGGGAUAAACAUCUGGACAAACUUACUCUCCUGAUGUGGCUACUAGUCUCCUCAUUCCCUGUCAAUGCUCCUGUUCACAAUCAAAGCGGUAUGUACUUGUUCUAAAUAAACCAUAUAAAGUCAUGCACUGAACCUCUUGAUGGCUGUGGCUGCUGUCCCCACUUGGACCAUCCACUAUCCUGGUGACCCCACGACACUGCUCUUCAAAGGUACCUUUUAU